This 890-nucleotide ribosomal RNA is filed under the name Bacillus licheniformis. RNAcentral describes it as "SSU rRNA". It matches the Rfam family "Bacterial small subunit ribosomal RNA", at positions 546 to 1438 of the family's 1533-position model. Lineage: Bacteria; Bacillati; Bacillota; Bacilli; Caryophanales; Bacillaceae. The record is from RNAcentral.
CGGAUUAUUGGGCGUAAGGGCUCGCAGGCGGUUUCUUAAGUCUGAUGUGAAAGCCCCCGGCUCAACCGGGGAGGGUCAUUGGAAACUGGGGAACUUGAGUGCAGAAGAGGAGAGUGGAAUUCCACGUGUAGCGGUGAAAUGCGUAGAGAUGUGGAGGAACACCAGUGGCGAAGGCGACUCUCUGGUCUGUAACUGACGCUGAGGAGCGAAAGCGUGGGGAGCGAACAGGAUUAGAUACCCUGGUAGUCCACGCCGUAAACGAUGAGUGCUAAGUGUUAGGGGGUUUCCGCCCCUUAGUGCUGCAGCUAACGCAUUAAGCACUCCGCCUGGGGAGUACGGUCGCAAGACUGAAACUCAAAGGAAUUGACGGGGGCCCGCACAAGCGGUGGAGCAUGUGGUUUAAUUCGAAGCAACGCGAAGAACCUUACCAGGUCUUGACAUCCUCUGACAAUCCUAGAGAUAGGACGUCCCCUUCGGGGGCAGAGUGACAGGUGGUGCAUGGUUGUCGUCAGCUCGUGUCGUGAGAUGUUGGGUUAAGUCCCGCAACGAGCGCAACCCUUGAUCUUAGUUGCCAGCAUUCAGUUGGGCACUCUAAGGUGACUGCCGGUGACAAACCGGAGGAAGGUGGGGAUGACGUCAAAUCAUCAUGCCCCUUAUGACCUGGGCUACACACGUGCUACAAUGGACAGAACAAAGGGCAGCGAAACCGCGAGGUUAAGCCAAUCCCACAAAUCUGUUCUCAGUUCGGAUCGCAGUCUGCAACUCGACUGCGUGAAGCUGGAAUCGCUAGUAAUCGCGGAUCAGCAUGCCGCGGUGAAUACGUUCCNNGGCCUUGUACACACCGCCCGUCACACCACGAGAGUUUGUAACACCCGAAGUCGGUGAGGUAA